This 74-nucleotide transfer RNA is filed under the name Enterococcus phage GVEsP-1. RNAcentral describes it as "tRNA-Lys". It matches the Rfam family "tRNA". Rfam says of the family: Transfer RNA (tRNA) molecules are approximately 80 nucleotides in length. Their secondary structure includes four short double-helical elements and three loops (D, anti-codon, and T loops). Further hydrogen bonds mediate the characteristic L-shaped molecular structure. tRNAs have two regions of fundamental functional importance: the anti-codon, which is responsible for specific mRNA codon recognition, and the 3' end, to which the tRNAs corresponding amino acid is attached (by aminoacyl-tRNA synthetases). tRNAs cope with the degeneracy of the genetic code in two manners: having more than one tRNA (with a specific anti-codon) for a particular amino acid; and 'wobble' base-pairing, i.e. permitting non-standard base-pairing at the 3rd anti-codon position. The record is from RNAcentral. Lineage: Duplodnaviria; Heunggongvirae; Uroviricota; Caudoviricetes; Herelleviridae.
GUCUUCAUAGCUCAAUUGGCUAGAGCACCCGACUUUUAAUCGGGGGGUUCGGGGUUCAAAUCCCUGUGGGGACA